This 1565-nucleotide ribosomal RNA is filed under the name Orenia metallireducens. Its description in RNAcentral is "bacterial SSU rRNA". It matches the Rfam family "Bacterial small subunit ribosomal RNA". The record is from RNAcentral. Lineage: Bacteria; Bacillati; Bacillota; Clostridia; Halanaerobiales; Halobacteroidaceae.
UAUUCACAUUUAAAUAAAUCUUUAUUGGAGAGUUUGAUCCUGGCUCAGGACGAACGCUGGCGGCGUGCUUAACACAUGCAAGUUGAACGCGAAAGUUUUCUUCGGAAAAUUAGUAGAGUAGCGGACGGGUGAGUAACGCGUGGGUAAUCUACCUUUAAGUUAGGAAUAACUUCUCGAAAGAGAAGCUAAUACCUAAUAAUCUCUUACGAGCAAAGAUGGCUUCUUCUUAGCUAUCGCUUAAAGAUGAGCCUGCGUCCCAUUAGCUUGUUGGUGAGGUAAAAGCUCACCAAGGCAACAAUGGGUAGCCGACCUGAGAGGGUGAUCGGCCACACUGGGACUGAGACACGGCCCAGACUCCUACGGGAGGCUGCAGUGGGGAAUCUUCCGCAAUGGACGAAAGUCUGACGGAGCAACGCCGCGUGAACGAUGAAGGCCUUCGGGUCGUAAAGUUCUGUCCUUUGGGAAGAAUACUUUAGUUACUAAUACUAGCUAGAGUUGACGGUACCUUUGGAGGAAGCUCUGGCUAACUACGUGCCAGCAGCCGCGGUAAUACGUAGAGAGCAAGCGUUGUCCGGAAUCAUUGGGCGUAAAGGGUACGCAGGCGGUCUAUUAAGUCAGAGGUGAAAUCCAACAGCUCAACUGUUGAACUGCCUUUGAUACUGGUAGACUUGAGGAUAAGAGAAGAAAACGGAAUUCCUAGUGUAGCGGUGAAAUGCGUAGAUAUUAGGAAGAAUACCGAUGGCGAAAGCAGUUUUCUAACUUAUUCCUGACGCUCAGGUACGAAAGCUAGGGUAGCAAACGGGAUUAGAUACCCCGGUAGUCCUAGCCGUAAACGAUGGAUACUAGGUGUUGGGGGUUCGACCCCCUCGGUGCCGCAGUUAACGCAUUAAGUAUCCCGCCUGGGGAUUACGACCGCAAGGUUGAAACUCAAAGGAAUUGACGGGGACCCGCACAAGCGGUGGAGCAUGUGGUUUAAUUCGAUGCAACGCGAAGAACCUUACCAGAACUUGACAUCCCUGUGACUAUCUCUUAAUCGAGAGUCUUCCCUUUUGGGAACACAGGUGACAGGUGGUGCAUGGCUGUCGUCAGCUCGUGUCGUGAGAUGUUGGGUUAAGUCCCGUAACGAGCGCAACCCCUAUCCUUAGUUGCCAGCACGUAAUGGUGGGGACUCUAAGGAGACUGCCGCGGAAAAACGCGGAGGAAGGUGGGGAUGACGUCAAGUCAUCAUGCCCCUUAUGUUCUGGGCUACACACGUGCUACAAUGGCUUAUACAGAGGGUUGCUACAUCGUGAGAUGAUGCUAAUCUCUAAAGUAAGUCUCAGUUCGGAUUGCAGGCUGCAACUCGCCUGCAUGAAGCUGGAAUCGCUAGUAAUCGUGGAUCAGAAUGCCACGGUGAAUACGUUCCCGGGUCUUGUACACACCGCCCGUCACACCACCCGAGUCGGGGGCACCAGAAGUCGUCGGCCUAACUUUUAGAAGGAGACGCCGAAGGUGCGUUCGGUAAGGGGGGUGAAGUCGUAACAAGGUAGCCGUACCGGAAGGUGCGGCUGGAUCACCUCCUUUCU